This 491-nucleotide ribosomal RNA is filed under the name uncultured bacterium. Its description in RNAcentral is "bacterial SSU rRNA". It matches the Rfam family "Bacterial small subunit ribosomal RNA", at positions 903 to 1397 of the family's 1533-position model. The record is from RNAcentral.
AAAUGAAUAGACGGGGGCCCGCACAAGCAGUGGAGUAUGUGGUUUAAUUCGAAGCAACGCGAAGAACCUUACCAGGGCUUGACAUGCAGGUGAAUAGCAUAGAGAUAUGCUAGUCCUUCGGGACGCCUGUGCAGGUGGUGCAUGGUUGUCGUCAGCUCGUGUCGUGAGAUGUUGGGUUAAGUCCCGCAACGAGCGCAACCCCUGUUGUUAGUUGCCAUCAUUAAGUUGGGCACUCUAACGAGACUGCCGGUGACAAAUCGGAGGAAGGUGGGGACGACGUCAAAUCAUCAUGCCCCUUAUGUCCUGGGCUACACACGUACUACAAUGGCUAUAACAGCAGGGAGCUAAGGCGCAAGCCGGAGCGAAUCCUCAAAAAUAGUCUCAGUUCGGAUUGUGGGCUGAAACCCGCCCACAUGAAGUCGGAAUUGCUAGUAAUGGCAGGUCAGCAUACUGCCGUGAAUACGUUCCCGGGCCUUGUACACACCGCCCGU